AGCAGUGGGAGCACGCUUCGGCGUGUGACUGCGUACCUUUUGUAUAAUGGGUCAGCGACUUAUAUUCUGUAGCAAGGUUAACCGAAUAGGGGAGCCGAAGGGAAACCGAGUCUUAACUGGGCGUUAAGUUGCAGGGUAUAGACCCGAAACCCGGUGAUCUAGCCAUGGGCAGGUUGAAGGUUGGGUAACACUAACUGGAGGACCGAACCGACUAAUGUUGAAAAAUUAGCGGAUGACUUGUGGCUGGGGGUGAAAGGCCAAUCAAACCGGGAGAUAGCUGGUUCUCCCCGAAAGCUAUUUAGGUAGCGCCUCGUGAAUUCAUCUCCGGGGGUAGAGCACUGUUUCGGCAAGGGGGUCAUCCCGACUUACCAACCCGAUGCAAACUGCGAAUACCGGAGAAUGUUAUCACGGGAGACACACGGCGGGUGCUAACGUCCGUCGUGAAGAGGGAAACAACCCAGACCGCCAGCUAAGGUCCCAAAGUCAUGGUUAAGUGGGAAACGAUGUGGGAAGGCCCAGACAGCCAGGAUGUUGGCUUAGAAGCAGCCAUCAUUUAAAGAAAGCGUAAUAGCUCACUGGUCGAGUCGGCCUGCGCGGAAGAUGUAACGGGGCUAAACCAUG
RNAcentral lists this ribosomal RNA (621 nucleotides) under Escherichia coli. RNAcentral's name for it is "partial 23S ribosomal RNA". It matches the Rfam family "Bacterial large subunit ribosomal RNA", at positions 569 to 1191 of the family's 2925-position model. The record is from RNAcentral. Lineage: Bacteria; Pseudomonadati; Pseudomonadota; Gammaproteobacteria; Enterobacterales; Enterobacteriaceae.